UACAGAGGGUGCAAGCGUUAAUCGAAAUUACUGGGCGUAAAGCGUGCGUAGACGGUUACAUAAGUCGGGUGUGAAAGCCCCGGGCUCAACCUGGGAAUUGCAUUCGAGACUGCGUAGCUAGGGUGCGGAAGAGGGAAGCGGAAUUUCCGGUGUAGCGGUGAAAUGCGUAGAUAUCGGAAGGAACACCAGUGGCGAAAGCGGCUUCCUGGUCCAGCACCGACGUUCAGGCACGAAAGCGUGGGGAGCAAACAGG
This 253-nucleotide ribosomal RNA is filed under the name uncultured bacterium. RNAcentral describes it as "partial 16S ribosomal RNA". It matches the Rfam family "Bacterial small subunit ribosomal RNA", at positions 524 to 776 of the family's 1533-position model. The record is from RNAcentral.